Molecule: ribosomal RNA, 1499 nt
Filed under: uncultured bacterium
Lineage: Bacteria
Description: partial 16S ribosomal RNA
Rfam family: Bacterial small subunit ribosomal RNA
Source: RNAcentral
GUUUGAUCCUGGCUCAGGAUGAACGCUAGCGGCAGGCCUAACACAUGCAAGUCGAACGGUAACAGUCUGCAACUUGUUGUAGAGCUGACGAGUGGCGCACGGGUGCGUAACGCGUAUACAAUCUACCUUUUACAGUGGGAUAGCCCAGAGAAAUUUGGAUUAAUACCGCAUAGUAUUAUUAGUUGGCAUCAAUUAAUAAUUAAAGAUUUAUCGGUAAGAGAUGAGUAUGCGUCCUAUUAGUUAGUUGGAGUGGUAACGGCACCCCAAGACAUCGAUAGGUAGGGGUCCUGAGAGGGAGAUCCCCCACACUGGUACUGAGACACGGACCAGACUCCUACGGGAGGCAGCAGUGAGGAAUAUUGGACAAUGGGCGAGAGCCUGAUCCAGCCAUGCCGCGUGCAGGAAGACUGCCCUAUGGGUUGUAAACUGCUUUUAAACGGGAAGAAACCCUAGCUCGUGAGCUAGGCUGACGGUACCGUAAGAAUAAGGAUCGGCUAACUCCGUGCCAGCAGCCGCGGUAAUACGGAGGAUCCAAGCGUUAUCCGGAAUCAUUGGGUUUAAAGGGUCCGUAGGUGGAUAAUUAAGUCAGAGGUGAAAUCCUGCAGCUCAACUGUAGAAUUGCCUUUGAUACUGGUUAUCUUGAGUCAUUAUGAAGUAGUUAGAAUAUGUAGUGUAGCGGUGAAAUGCAUAGAUAUUACAUAGAAUACCAAUUGCGAAGGCAGAUUACUAAUAAUGUACUGACACUGAUGGACGAAAGCGUGGGUAGCGAACAGGAUUAGAUACCCUGGUAGUCCACGCCGUAAACGAUGGUCACUAGCUGUUCGAGCUUCGGUUUGAGUGGCUAAGCGAAAGUGAUAAGUGACCCACCUGGGGAGUACGUUCGCAAGAAUGAAACUCAAAGGAAUUGACGGGGGCCCGCACAAGCGGUGGAGCAUGUGGUUUAAUUCGAUGCAACGCGCAGAACCUUACCUGGCCUUGACAUCCACGGAACUUACCAGAGAUGGUUUGGUGCCUUCGGGAACCGUGAGACAGGUGCUGCAUGGCUGUCGUCAGCUCGUGUCGUGAGAUGUUGGGUUAAGUCCCGCAACGAGCGCAACCCUUGUCCUUAGUUGCCAGCACGUAAUGGUGGGAACUCUAAGGAGACUGCCGGUGACAAACCGGAGGAAGGUGGGGAUGACGUCAAGUCAUCAUGGCCCUUACGGCCAGGGCUACACACGUACUACAAUGGUCGGUACAGAGGGUUGCGAAGCCGCGAGGUGGAGCCAAUCCCAGAAAGCCGAUCUCAGUCCGGAUCGGAGUCUGCAACUCGACUCCGUGAAGUCGGAAUCGCUAGUAAUCGCAGAUCAGCAUUGCUGCGGUGAAUACGUUCCCGGGCCUUGUACACACCGCCCGUCACACCAUGGGAGUUGGUUUUACCCGAAGACGGUGAGCGAACCCGCAAGGGAUGCAGCCGGCCACGGUAGGGUCAGCGACUGGGGUGAAGUCGUAACAAGGUAGCC